Molecule: ribosomal RNA, 459 nt
Filed under: uncultured bacterium
Lineage: Bacteria
Description: partial 16S ribosomal RNA
Rfam family: Bacterial small subunit ribosomal RNA
Source: RNAcentral
CCUACGGGUGGCAGCAGUGAGGAAUAUUGGUCAAUGGUCGGGAGACUGAACCAGCCAAGCCGCGUGAGGGAUGAAGGUACAGAGUAUCGUAAACCUCUUUUGUCAGGGAACAAAGGCGGGGACGCGUCCCCGGAUGAGUGUACCUGAAGAAAAAGCAUCGGCUAACUCCGUGCCAGCAGCCGCGGUAAUACGGGGGAUGCGAGCGUUAUCCGGUUUUCUGGGGUUUAAAGGGUGCGCAGGCGGUCUGUUAAGUCAGCGGUAAAAGCCAGGGGCUCAACCCCGGACCGCCGUUGAAACUGGGAGUCUCGAGUUGGAGAGAAGUAUGCGGAAUGCGCGGUGUAGCGGUGAAAUGCAUAGAUAUCGCGCAGAACUCCGAUUGAGAAGGCAGCAUGCCGGCUCCACACUGACGCUGAGGCACGAAAGCGUGGGGAUCGAACAGGAUUAGAUACCCGUGUAGUC